This 27-nucleotide non-coding RNA is filed under the name Homo sapiens (human). Lineage: Eukaryota; Metazoa; Chordata; Mammalia; Primates; Hominidae. The record is from RNAcentral.
UGAAAUUGGUGGGAAGCAAGCAGGGGU